This 580-nucleotide long non-coding RNA is filed under the name Capra hircus (goat). RNAcentral's name for it is "lncRNA (ENSCHIG00000007079.1)". Lineage: Eukaryota; Metazoa; Chordata; Mammalia; Artiodactyla; Bovidae. The record is from RNAcentral.
CUGGGGUUGAGAUAUGGAGGGUGCAUGGGAGCUGGAUGGAGUGUCAGGGAAGGAAGAGGGUUUCCUACAGAAGGAACAAUAUACGCGAGAUCCCUGAGGACAGGAAACAGCAAGUCAGAAGGACUGAAAGCAGAUGAGUGUAGCUGAUGUGGAGACUGAAAGGAAUAAAGAAGAGAUUAGAAUGAAGUAAAGAAUAGACUAAAAAGACCAAGUAGAGAAAUGGUGGCCUUGGCAAUGCACGAGAACAAAUUCCUCUGUCUCUGGUCUGUGGUCCAGGGAGAGAUCAGAGGCCACAUUCUGUUGUCUGUGUAUCCGUUCGGGACCCCUGCUGCACUGGACUCUCCUAUACAUCCAUUCUCCCCAGGAGGCAUCUCCAGUUCCGGGAUGCAGGAAGCUUGCUGGGCUGAGAUGGAACCUCUCCUGCAGCCAAGGAGGGAGUGAGCAGAGGUCCCAGACCUCAGACCUGCCCUCUCACAUCAGAUGUUCUCUUCUGAGAAAAAGAGAAGCCACCUAUUGCAAAUGGGGAGCCAAGGUAUCUCAUUUUUACUGUGCUUUGGAGUAAUAUCCAUAAUCAUAUUAA